UCUACCGAUUGGACGCUGCGGUGAAGACCUGGGAUUGGUCUGGCGGUCCCGCGGGGUUUCCCCGCGUCCCCGGGCCGAGAACUCGUCUGAACCCCAUCGUCUAGAGGAAGAAGAAGUCGUAACAAGGUU
Molecule: ribosomal RNA, 129 nt
Filed under: Prototheca wickerhamii
Lineage: Eukaryota; Viridiplantae; Chlorophyta; Trebouxiophyceae; Chlorellales; Chlorellaceae
Description: partial small subunit ribosomal RNA
Rfam family: Eukaryotic small subunit ribosomal RNA
Source: RNAcentral